This 155-nucleotide ribosomal RNA is filed under the name Bracteacoccus minor. RNAcentral describes it as "5.8S ribosomal RNA". It matches the Rfam family "5.8S ribosomal RNA". From Rfam's summary of the family: 5.8S ribosomal RNA (5.8S rRNA) is a component of the large subunit of the eukaryotic ribosome. It is transcribed by RNA polymerase I as part of the 45S precursor that also contains 18S and 28S rRNA. Functionally, it is thought that 5.8S rRNA may be involved in ribosome translocation. The record is from RNAcentral. Lineage: Eukaryota; Viridiplantae; Chlorophyta; Chlorophyceae; Sphaeropleales; Bracteacoccaceae.
CAACUCUCAACAACGGAUAUCUUGGCUCUCGCAACGAUGAAGAACGCAGCGAAAUGCGAUACGUAGUGUGAAUUGCAGARUUCCGUGAACCAUCGAAUCUUUGAACGCAUAUUGCGCCCAAGACUUCGGUCGAGGGCAUGUCUGCGUCAGCGUCG